AAUUCUCAACCUCGUCGUUUCGUUUCGAGGCGAGGCUUGGACUUGGAGCGUGCCGGUCCUUUCUUGGGUCGGCUCCUCUUUGAAUGCAUCAGCGGAGUCUUCUUUGGCUCGUGGCAUCGGCGUGAUAAUCACGUUACGCUGUUGACCCGACGUCUCGGUCCGCUUACAGUGGUCUUCGGACAGCUUAUGAAA
This 192-nucleotide unclassified non-coding RNA is filed under the name uncultured Byssocorticium. Its description in RNAcentral is "sequence contains ITS2". Lineage: Eukaryota; Fungi; Basidiomycota; Agaricomycetes; Atheliales; Atheliaceae. The record is from RNAcentral.